RNAcentral lists this ribosomal RNA (492 nucleotides) under uncultured bacterium. Its description in RNAcentral is "partial 16S ribosomal RNA". It matches the Rfam family "Bacterial small subunit ribosomal RNA", at positions 29 to 507 of the family's 1533-position model. The record is from RNAcentral.
AGUGAACGCUGGCGGUAUGCCUAACACAUGCAAGUCGAACGGCAGCACAGUAAGAGCUUGCUCUUACGGGUGGCGAGUGGCGGACGGGUGAGGAAUACAUCGGAAUCUACUUUUUCGUGGGGGAUAACGUAGGGAAACUUACGCUAAUACCGCAUACGACCUACGGGUGAAAGCAGUGGAUCUUCGGACCUUGCGCGAUUGAAUGAGCCGAUGUCGGAUUAGCUAGUUGGCGGGGUAAAGGCCCACCAAGGCGACGAUCCGUAGCUGGUCUGAGAGGAUGAUCAGCCACACUGGAACUGAGACACCGUCCUGACUCCUACGGGAGGCAGCAGUGGGGAAUAUUGGACAAUGGGCGCAAGCCUGAUCCAGCCAUACCGAGUGGGUGAAGGAGGCCUUCGGGUUGUAAAGCCCUUUUGUUGGGAAAGAAAAGCAGCAGGUUAAUACCCCGCUGUUCUGACGGUACCCAAAGAAUAAGCACCGGCUAACUUCGUG